AGAGUUUGAUCCUGGCUCAGGACGAACGCUGGCGGCGUGCUUAACACAUGCAAGUCGAGCGAUCGGCCUUGGGGGGGUAACCCCCCUUGGUACGGAGCGGCGAACGGGUGAGUAACACGUGGGUAACCUGCCCCAGACACCGGAAUAACCCCGGGAAACCGGGGCUAAUGCCGGAUAUUCUCGCCGGGUCGCAUGGCCUGGCGAGGAAAGCUCUGGCGGUCUGGGAGGGGCCCGCGGCCUAUCAGCUUGUUGGUGGGGUAAUGGCCCACCAAGGCGACGACGGGUAGCUGGCGUGAGAGCGUGGCCAGCCACACUGGGACUGAGACACGGCCCAGACUCCUACGGGAGGCAGCAGUGGGGAAUCUUGCGCAAUGGGCGAAAGCCUGACGCAGCGACGCCGCGUGGGGGAUGAAGGCCCUCGGGUUGUAAACCCCUUUCGGCAGGGAAGAAGCCGCAAGGUGACGGUACCUGCAGAAGAAGCCCCGGCUAACUACGUGCCAGCAGCCGCGGUAAGACGUAGGGGGCGAGCGUUGUCCGGAUUUAUUGGGCGUAAAGCGCGCGUAGGCGGUUCGGUAAGUCGGUGGUGAAAACCCGGAGCUCAACUCCGGGCCUGCCUCCGAUACUGCCGGACUGGAGGCAGGUAGGGGAGAGUGGAAUUCCCGGUGUAGCGGUGAAAUGCGCAGAUAUCGGGAGGAACACCGGUGGCGAAGGCGGCUCUCUGGACCUGUCCUGACGCUCAGCGCGAAAGCUAGGGGAGCGAACAGGAUUAGAUACCCUGGUAGUCCUAGCCGUAAACGUUGGGUGCUAGGUGUGGGGCGGCGUUUGACCCGCUCUGUGCCGAAGCUAACGCAUUAAGCACCCCGCCUGGGAGUACGGCCGCAAGGCUAAACUCAAAGGAAUUGACGGGGCCCGCACAGCGCG
This 921-nucleotide ribosomal RNA is filed under the name uncultured Actinomycetes bacterium. Its description in RNAcentral is "bacterial SSU rRNA". It matches the Rfam family "Bacterial small subunit ribosomal RNA", at positions 8 to 933 of the family's 1533-position model. The record is from RNAcentral. Lineage: Bacteria; Bacillati; Actinomycetota; Actinomycetes.